Molecule: ribosomal RNA, 462 nt
Filed under: uncultured bacterium
Lineage: Bacteria
Description: partial 16S ribosomal RNA
Rfam family: Bacterial small subunit ribosomal RNA (bases 20-325)
Source: RNAcentral
GACGAACGCUGGCGGCGUGCUUAACACAUGCAAGUCGAGCGGAAAGGCCCUUCGGGGUACUCGAGCGGCGAACGGGUGAGUAACACGUGAGUAACCUGCCCCAGACUUUGGGAUAACCCUCGGAAACGGGGGCUAAUACCGGAUACGACACAGCUUCGCAUGGGGUCUGUGUGGAAAGUUUUUCGGUUUGGGAUGGGCUCGCGGCCUAUCAGCUUGUUGGUGGGGUGAUGGCCUACCAAGGCGACGACGGGUAGCCGGCCUGAGAGGGCGACCGGCCACACGGGGCUGGAGACAGGGCCGAGCCUCUGGGGGGGGGGGGGGGGGGGAAUUUUGGCAGAGGGGGGGGAGGCUGGAGGCAGCGGGGCGGGGGGGGGGAGGCGGGCUUGGGGUUGUAAACCCUGUGCCGGGGGGGAAGAAGGGAAAGUGGGGGACCCUGAAGAAGAGGGCCCGGCAACCUAGGUC